UCAGCAAUACGGUGCGUUUUGAUGCUUCCUUCCCGCUUGGGCUAGUCGACAGUUAAGAAGCCGCCAAAACGCUGCGUUUUCGGUUCAAAACCCUCUCCAAAAACCCUGAUUCAGCUCCGUGGCCCAUAUUGGCGGCAAAGCCGUUGUAGCUUAAACAGACUCUGCAACUCUUCCCCUUCCAGUUCUUCGAUCUGAAGCUCAACAGGUUGACAUAAAUAUUCUGUCUAUUGUAGAUUCUGUGUGAAGUUGUAUAUCAUCCAUAUGUUCAUUAUCGUUAUCUCCUUUGAAUGAUUCUCAAUGUUGUGGCCUUUUCAUCUUUGCCUGUGUCGUUCUUUCUCGAAUGGAAUACUCAAUCGAUGCUCAAAUUGUUAUAAUUGGAAAGGUUAGUUCAAGAUUCCAUGCUAGUUAUUUUGAGAGGAAUUUUGCAUUGAGUUUCCAUUUCUUUUCCUCGGAAUUAAUAGUAAUGUACAGAUGAUUUCGUGUUCUUGGAAUGUGCGAUGACUGCGUUAUGUUGAAGCUAUAAAAAAGAUUUGUGUUCUGGAUUUUUCUUCUUCAUGUAGCUUUGUGGCAGAAGAUAGCUUCAAAUGUACAACAGCCUGUGGAGCUAUAACCUGCAAUUUAGAAGAUUCAGAUAUACUCUUCCUCCAAUUAUGGAGUUUUUUUUUUUUUCUUUUCAAUCGCUUGUAUUCUAACAUAUCAUGCCAAAGAACAUACUGAGUUCAUAUUCUUGAAUGAGAUGCAGAUGCCUACAUAUCUCAUUCUUGCAUAGAAGUAUGAAAGAGAUGCUAAGAAGUACUGGGAUAUCUUUACAAAAAGCAUCAACACAGAUUUCCCCAGAGAAGAUGUCCCAGGUGUGGCAUAAUCUAGCACUCAUUGAGUUCCUACGUUUUUCACAGGUAUCGCUAUGAACGGAUUUGUUCUAUGCACAUGGUGACUUUGCUUGUUAGGAACCACGAACCUCUGCAAUAGCUUCUACUGCAAAAGAGUUGUUCUAGAUCUCGUCUAGUAAGGAUACAGAAUGUGCAUUGAUUCUUUGCCACGUCCUGCGUCGAGUCGAUGAGCCAACGAUCGUUUCAGCUGCUAAACGAUUCGGUUUUGUCCCAAAUCAUUGUGAGUUCUUGGUUCACUGAUAGAUACUAGGAUAUCCCCAGUACUGCUUUGAAUAUUAUGUAUUUUCAUAUUUCAUAUCAGCUUUCCUUUUAAUAUAUGUCAAGGGGCGUAGAAUCAUUAUGUGAAGGUUUUGAGUUGAUAUUUAAGCUUUGUUUAAGAUGGUAGAGCAUUUAUUUGUACAAAGGGAAA
Molecule: long non-coding RNA, 1299 nt
Organism: Cucurbita moschata (crookneck pumpkin)
Lineage: Eukaryota; Viridiplantae; Streptophyta; Magnoliopsida; Cucurbitales; Cucurbitaceae
Exons: 3
Source: RefSeq, a predicted model, not a curated record